UCUUUGGCCCCGUGCAAUGGGAGCCUGUGAAUCGUGUCAGGACUGAGAGGUAGCAGCACUAAGCAGUUACUUUCAUGUGCCAUGGGAACUCCAGAGGGCU
This is a non-coding RNA of Veillonella montpellierensis DNF00314, 100 nucleotides long. It matches the Rfam family "Bacterial small signal recognition particle RNA". From Rfam's summary of the family: The signal recognition particle (SRP) is a universally conserved ribonucleoprotein involved in the co-translational targeting of proteins to membranes. Archaeal SRP consists of a 7S RNA and homologues of the eukaryotic SRP19 and SRP54 proteins. NCBI's taxonomy places the organism in Bacteria, Bacillati, Bacillota, Negativicutes, Veillonellales, Veillonellaceae. The record is from Rfam.